UACAGAGGGGGCAAGCGUUGUUCGGAAUUACUGGGCGUAAAGGGCGCGUAGGCGGUCCGCUAAGCGUGUGGUGAAAGCUCGGGGCUCAACCCCGAGUCGGCCAUGCGAACUGGUGGACUGGAGCCUGUCAGAGGCAAGCGGAAUUCCGGGUGUAGCGGUGGAAUGCGUAGAGAUCCGGAAGAACACCGGUGGCGAAGGCGGCUUGCUGGGACAGUGCUGACGCUGAGGCGCGACAGCGUGGGGAGCAAACAGG
RNAcentral lists this ribosomal RNA (253 nucleotides) under uncultured bacterium. Its description in RNAcentral is "partial 16S ribosomal RNA". It matches the Rfam family "Bacterial small subunit ribosomal RNA", at positions 524 to 776 of the family's 1533-position model. The record is from RNAcentral.